This 94-nucleotide ribosomal RNA is filed under the name Microcebus murinus (gray mouse lemur). The record is from RNAcentral. Lineage: Eukaryota; Metazoa; Chordata; Mammalia; Primates; Cheirogaleidae.
AGUCAUGGUCAUACCACCCUAAGCACACCUGAUCUCAUCUGAUCUCUGAAGUUAAGCAGGGUCAGCCCCCAGGCAUAUCCUGGAGCUAUUACAG